Molecule: non-coding RNA, 45 nt
Organism: Schistosoma rodhaini
Lineage: Eukaryota; Metazoa; Platyhelminthes; Trematoda; Strigeidida; Schistosomatidae
Source: Rfam
AUCCAGCUGAAGAGUCAGAAAUAGGAUGAAACGCGCUUCCUGGAU